GAUGAACGCUGGCGGCGUGCCUAAUACAUGCAAGUCGAGCGAACGGACGAGAAGCUUGCUUCCUUGAUGUUAGCGGCGGACGGGCGAGUAACACGUGGAUAACCUACUUAUAAGACUGGGAUAACUUCGGGAAACCGGAGCUAAUACCGGAUAAUAUUUUGAACCGCAUGGUUCAAAAGUGAAAGACGGUCUUGCUGUCACUUAUAGAUGGAUCCGCGCUGCAUUAGCUAGUUGGUAAGGUAACGGCUUACCAAGGCGACGAUGCAUAGCUGACCUGAGAGGAUGAUCGGCCACACUGGAACUGAGACACGGUCCAGACUCCUACGGGAGGCAGCAGUGGGGAAUCUUCCGCAAUGGGCGAAAGCCUGACGGAGCAACGCCGCGUGAGUGAUGAAGGUCUUCGGAUCGUAAAGCUCUGUUGUUAGGGAAGAACAUAUGUGUAAGUAACUGUGCACGUCUUGACGGUACCUAAUCAAAAAGCCACGGCUAACUUCGUG
Molecule: ribosomal RNA, 497 nt
Filed under: uncultured bacterium
Lineage: Bacteria
Description: partial 16S ribosomal RNA
Rfam family: Bacterial small subunit ribosomal RNA
Source: RNAcentral